AUUGAACGCUGGCGGCAUGCCUUACACAUGCAAGUCGAACGGCAGCGCGGGCUUCGGCCUGGCGGCGAGUGGCGAACGGGUGAGUAAUGUAUCGGAACGUGCCCUAGAGUGGGGGAUAACUAGUCGAAAGAUUGGCUAAUACCGCAUACGAUCUAAGGAUGAAAGCGGGGGAUCGCAAGACCUCGUGCUCAUGGAGCGGCCGAUAUCUGAUUAGCUAGUUGGUGGGGUAAAGGCCUACCAAGGCGACGAUCAGUAGCUGGGCUGAGAGGACGACCAGCCACACUGGGACUGAGACACGGCCCAGACUCCUACGGGAGGCAGCAGUGGGGAAUUUUGGACAAUGGGGGCAACCCUGAUCCAGCAAUGCCGCGUGUGUGAAGAAGGCCUUCGGGUUGUAAAGCACUUUUGUCCGGAAAGAAAUUGCCUGAGCUAAUACCUUGGGUAGAUGACGGUACCGGAAGAAUGAGCACCGGCUAACUACGUGCCAGCCGCCGCGGUAA
Molecule: ribosomal RNA, 500 nt
Filed under: uncultured bacterium
Lineage: Bacteria
Description: partial 16S ribosomal RNA
Rfam family: Bacterial small subunit ribosomal RNA
Source: RNAcentral